Molecule: ribosomal RNA, 1368 nt
Filed under: uncultured bacterium
Lineage: Bacteria
Description: partial 16S ribosomal RNA
Rfam family: Bacterial small subunit ribosomal RNA
Source: RNAcentral
CUUAGUGGCGAACGGGUGAGUAUCGCGUGGGAAUCUACCUAGAAGUGGGGAAUAACUGUUGGAAACGACAGCUAAUACCGCAUAAUCCCUUCGGGGCAAAGGCUUCGGCCGCUUUUAGAUGAGCCCGCGUUAGAUUAGGCUGUUGGUGAGGUAAUGGCUCACCAAACCUACAAUCUAUAGCUGGUCUGAGAGGAUGAUCAGCCACACUGGGACUGAGACACGGCCCAGACUCCUACGGGAGGCAGCAGUAAGGAAUCUUGCACAAUGGAGGAAACUCUGAUGCAGCGAUGCCGCGUGAGUGAAGAAGGCCCUUGGGUUGUAAAGCUCUUUCGUCGGGGAAGAAAAUGACUGUACCCGAAUAAGAAGGUCCGGCUAACUUCGUGCCAGCAGCCGCGGUAAUACGAAGGGACCUAGCGUAGUUCGGAAUUACUGGGCUUAAAGAGUUCGUAGGUGGUUAAAAAAGUUGGUGGUGAAAUCCCAGAGCUUAACUCUGGAACUGCCAUCAAAACUUUUCAGCUAGAGUUUGAUAGAGGAAAGCAGAAUUUCUAGUGUAGAGGUGAAAUUCGUAGAUAUUAGAAAGAAUACCAAUUGCGAAGGCAGCUUUCUGGAUCAUUACUGACACUGAGGAACGAAAGCAUGGGUAGCGAAGAGGAUUAGAUACCCUCGUAGUCCAUGCCGUAAACGAUGUGUGUUAGACGUUGGAAAUUUAUUUUCAGUGUCGCAGCGAAAGCGAUAAACACACCGCCUGGGGAGUACGACCGCAAGGUUAAAACUCAAAUGAAUUGACGGGGACCCGCACAAGUAGUGGAGCAUGUGGUUUAAUUCGAAGAUACGCGCAGAACCUUACCAACACUUGACAUGUUCGUCGCGACUUUAAGAGAUUAAAGUUUUCGGUUCGGCCGGACGAAACACAGGUGCUGCAUGGCUGUCGUCAGCUCGUGUCGUGAGAUGUUGGGUUAAGUCCCGCAACGAGCGCAACCCUCACUUUUAGUUGCCAUCAUUUAGUUGGGCACUCUGAAAGAACUGCCAGUGAUAAGCUGGAGGAAGGUGGGGAUGACGUCAAGUCCUCAUGGCCCUUACGUGUUGGGCUACACACGUGCUACAAUGGUAUCUACAACAGGAAGCAAAACGGCGACGUUAAGCAAAUCCUUAAAAGAUACCUCAGUUCGGAUUGCACUCUGCAACUCGAGUGCAUGAAGCUGGAAUUACUAGUAAUCGUGGAUCAGCGUGCCACGGUGAAUGCGUUCCCGGGUCUUGUACACACCGCCCGUCACACCAUGGGAGUUGGUUCUACCUUAAGGCAAGGUUUAAAAUCCUUGACCACGGUAUAGUCAGCGACUGGGGUGAAGUCAUAACAAGGUAGCCGUA